Molecule: unclassified non-coding RNA, 2576 nt
Filed under: Daphnia magna
Lineage: Eukaryota; Metazoa; Arthropoda; Branchiopoda; Diplostraca; Daphniidae
Description: uncharacterized LOC116927245, transcript variant X2
Source: RNAcentral
AUUCGCCGAGCACCUAAAGAAAAAAAAUUUAAAAUCGUGAAAAAUUCAAUACAGGAAAUGGAUUAAGGCCAGCCUCUGUUUUGAUCGUGAUUCAUUGUUAUAAAAAAACAAAACAAGAAGGUGUUACCUUCAACGUAAAUCCAAUUAGAGAACAAGUGAAAAAAACAAAGAAAAAUGAAAUGUUCGAUGGCCUUUGGAUUUUCCGUGUUGCAAAGGGUUGCAACGCAAUGUUCGUUGACCUGUUCGAAUCAGAAUAUGACGGCCUUGUUAAGUUACUCCACUUCCCGCGUGUUUCCCCGCUCUUGAUUUCUGACUUUUCAAAGACUUCCGCGUCUCGUAAACGAAAUGCAGCUAUUCUCCCUACAACAUAUGGAUUAUUAUCGCGAGAUUUUUCAAAACUCAAACGGGCGAGACAUGAGGCAUCUGUAGACGCAAUAGCCCGUUUUCAUUUCUUUUUUUACUGUUCCAUUUCGGGUUCUCGUGCCAAGGCUGAAACUGUUUUCUUUUACUUUCUUGAAACAGAUGAAUUUCUUUUUUAUGUCAUACUGACAAGGAGAAUCAGUGCCAUUAAUUAUUCAGAUUCGCGUAGCCUAUUGUGGGACUACCCUUCGUUUCUCUUUGUUUUGAAACGAAAAGAAAAACAAAUCGGUCUGGAACGCAGUGUGCAUUAUUGAAAGGUGUAUAGCAACAGGUUAGCCAAACACAAAAAGGUUCACUUUCAUUUUGUAUAGCUUCCAUUUUGGUCAAUCCACAAAUGGUUGUAACCCAUUUCUGCCAUUAAAAGUUCGAGGUUUUUUUGGUAGAGCUACUACUACAACUACUACUACUACACCAUUGUGUCCACUAUCCCGACACGAGAAAAGCGUCAACCGACAGGAACGUUUGACACUCGUUCGUGUUUUCUUUGUUUUUUCGAAUCGAAAAUCAGCUGAUUGGUUUUCUACUCGACCUAAUCACCAAAUGAAGCAUAACGAAGGUGAACUGGCAUUGGCCAUGAAACGUGCCCGUUGAAUUGUGGUGCAUUUCAUUCGGGGAAGCCGAUGCAAUUUGAUGGCUAAAAUUCGAUUUCUUUUUCUUAUGGCUGCCCAAAAUGAUUCAUCUACGUAGCAGACGACAACAGGUUUUUCUAUAGUCUGCUUUUCUCUCCGUCUACUGUGGAAAGUCACUUUUCUCGUUUCUAAAAAAGAAACGUCGUUUAACCGUAUCGACUAUAAACAUAUUUCCGUUUUCGGUCAAACGAAUUUUCAAUUCUUUUUUGUUUUUCAUUUCUGUAUUUCAUGUUUCCAUUUUCAGUGUGUGAACGUGAGUCAUUUCUCUGCUACGGUCUGUGUGGAAAAAAGAAGUCAACAGAUUUCAAAAAAACAAAACAAACAAAUGGAUUUCUCUGGAAUUGCAGUGCUUGGAUCUCAUCUCGAGCUGGAAUGCAAAUGGACGGUCAGACAAGGUGUUGGCAUGUGCAUAUGCACUAAACAAAAUAGGCUUCGUGAAGGCCGUCGCAGUUUGUAUUAGGCUGGACUACUUUAUUUUUAAUUCUUUUGUCUUUCUCAUUCUGUUUUGUGUUUAUUCCUUUUCUCUUCUGCUCGAACUCUGGCAAUCGACGUAAUCAAACCGUUAUUUUGUUUAGCACUUUCGUACACUCAAGGUUGUGAAGCUUUCAAGAGUUGCAGUAAUAUCGUUAUCAUCCACUCUAAUUGCAAACUUGCAAUCGGCUCUGAUUUUCACCGACACGAACAAUUUCCCAACGUAAUUCCUAUCUGUGUACUAAAAACGAUGGAUUUCUUUAUGGUUUUUCGUUGGAGAGGGUGAAAAAAAUCAAACAAGAUACGACCGGUUUUGUUUCAAACAUUUUCAAGGAAGUUGGCAAGGUUGCAUUCCCAGGAAACUGACGAUAGAUGACGUGGAUUUUCGCCGUUACCCAAACAAAGAUAAUUCAGUCAGUGAACAGGUUAGCUCAAACGCUUUCUCUCAGCCAAAAACGAUGGGCAUCUAUCAUCUGCGAAACUGUGGCAUCACCGUUCACAUCAUCAAGCACGGAAAAACAAUUAGAAAGCCAUUCUUCGUUCUACCCAAACAAUCGGUGAACGGUACAGCCAGGGCGAUCACAAAUGACGUUGGCAAACUGAAGAAUUGCCCUUUCAUCCAGCAUAGUGUAUAUGGAACAAGUGGAAAGCACAUUGAAAAACAUCGUUCAGGAGAUGUCGAUUGGAGCUCAUCAAAACUUGUGAAGCAAUCUUCGAUUUCAGAAUACUACAAGGCUUUUUAAUCCAUUAACAUUUCAAGAUGAUUAGAAACUUCUGGUAUGGCCGUUUUGAAUAGAAGAUAAUCGUUGUUAAAUUCCCUGUAAAGUUCAUUAAAGACAUUGGGCAAUUUUUUAUUCCAAAAUGAGCUGCAAAGCGAAAUUGACGAGGAAACUGCAUAACGGUGUUUCAGCACCCAAAUUCAUAGUAUAUAAGGGUUGGUGUGGACAUUACACAGUAGCGACCAUUAUUAUGAUUAGGUAUGCAUGCGUCUAGUCAUGAAUGGCAUUUCUAGUAGCACGAUACAAGAGUCUGUAAGGAACAGAUGAAGCAAUCGCG